UUAAUAUUAGUUAUGAAAUAUAUUUCAAGAAAUUUUAUAUCUAGUUUUUUAAGAGUAAAAGUUUAGUUAAUAAUUUUUAUAAAAAUUAAUAUGGUUUAGCUUAUUAAUUUUAUAUACUUAUAGAAUUUUUUUAACCUUGGUAAAUUUGAUAGUGUUUAUUUUAUAGAUUUAUAAUGGAGGGUAAUAUGAAUAAAAAUUUUUAUUUGUUAUUUUUUUAUUAAAAAAUUUAUUUAAAUUUUAAAGUUUUAUUUAUAAUGAAAAAAUUAGUAAAAAUUUAUUUAUAUUAAAAAAUAAUUAAUAAAUUAUAAGUGUUAUAAUUAUUAUAAAAAAUGAAUUCGGCAAAAAGUAUUAUUUGACUGUUUAGCAAAAACAUUGUUUCAUGAAGAAUAUAUGAAAUAAUGUCUGUCCACUGAUAUAUUUGAAGGACUGCAGUAUAUUGACUGUAUAAAAGUAGCAUAAUCAUUAGCUUUUUAUUUUGGGGUUGGUAUGAAGGCGAAACGGAUAAGUUCUUUAUUUUUUAUAAGUGUUUAAAGUUUAUUUUUAAGUGAAAAAUCUUAAUUAGAUGAGAGGGACAAGAAGACCCUACUAAGUUUUAUUUUUCUUUUAUUUAUGUCAUAGGAAAAUGUAAUUAUGAUAAUAUUACAUUAGAAAUUUGGUUGGGGCGAUUAGUUAUAAAACAUAAUUUAUUUAUAAUUUUU
This 698-nucleotide ribosomal RNA is filed under the name Pseudopolydesmus canadensis. RNAcentral describes it as "partial large subunit ribosomal RNA". The record is from RNAcentral. Lineage: Eukaryota; Metazoa; Arthropoda; Diplopoda; Polydesmida; Polydesmidae.